AGCAGCCGCGGUAAUUCCAGCUCCAAUAGCGUAUAUUAAAGUUGCUGCAGUUAAAAAGCUCGUAGUUGAAUUUCGGGACCAUCAUGUUGGUCGUGCCUCGGUACGUACUGGCAUUGUUGGUUUCUCCCUUCUGACGAACCAUGAUGUCAUUUAUUUGGUGUCGUGGGAAAUCAGGACUGUUACUUUGAAAAAUUGGAGUGUUUAAAGCAGGCUCACGCUUGAAUACAUUAGCAUGGAAUAAUGAAAUAGGACGUUUUGAUUCUAUUUUGUUGGUUUCUAGGAUCGACGUAAUGAUUAAUAGGGAUAGUUGGGGGCAUUAGUAUUCAAUUGUCAGAGGUGAAAUUCUUGGAUUUAUUGAAGACUAACUACUGCGAAAGCAUUUGCCAAGGAUGUUUUCAUUAAUCAAGAACGAAAGUUAGGGGAUCGAAGACGAUCAGAUACCGUCGUAGU
This 450-nucleotide ribosomal RNA is filed under the name uncultured Glomus. RNAcentral describes it as "SSU rRNA". It matches the Rfam family "Eukaryotic small subunit ribosomal RNA", at positions 569 to 1024 of the family's 1831-position model. The record is from RNAcentral. Lineage: Eukaryota; Fungi; Glomeromycota; Glomeromycetes; Glomerales; Glomeraceae.